GGGACUAUAGUUAAUAAUAACAUUUGAGUUGCAUUCAAAAAGUGCUGCUUAUAGCAGUUAGCCUCA
Molecule: transfer RNA, 66 nt
Filed under: Heterotermes tenuis
Lineage: Eukaryota; Metazoa; Arthropoda; Insecta; Blattodea; Rhinotermitidae
Description: tRNA-Ala
Source: RNAcentral